Molecule: ribosomal RNA, 736 nt
Filed under: Enterococcus faecalis EnGen0074
Lineage: Bacteria; Bacillati; Bacillota; Bacilli; Lactobacillales; Enterococcaceae
Description: bacterial SSU rRNA
Rfam family: Bacterial small subunit ribosomal RNA
Source: RNAcentral
CCCUGGUAGUCCACGCCGUAAACGAUGAGUGCUAAGUGUUGGAGGGUUUCCGCCCUUCAGUGCUGCAGCAAACGCAUUAAGCACUCCGCCUGGGGAGUACGACCGCAAGGUUGAAACUCAAAGGAAUUGACGGGGGCCCGCACAAGCGGUGGAGCAUGUGGUUUAAUUCGAAGCAACGCGAAGAACCUUACCAGGUCUUGACAUCCUUUGACCACUCUAGAGAUAGAGCUUUCCCUUCGGGGACAAAGUGACAGGUGGUGCAUGGUUGUCGUCAGCUCGUGUCGUGAGAUGUUGGGUUAAGUCCCGCAACGAGCGCAACCCUUAUUGUUAGUUGCCAUCAUUUAGUUGGGCACUCUAGCGAGACUGCCGGUGACAAACCGGAGGAAGGUGGGGAUGACGUCAAAUCAUCAUGCCCCUUAUGACCUGGGCUACACACGUGCUACAAUGGGAAGUACAACGAGUCGCUAGACCGCGAGGUCAUGCAAAUCUCUUAAAGCUUCUCUCAGUUCGGAUUGCAGGCUGCAACUCGCCUGCAUGAAGCCGGAAUCGCUAGUAAUCGCGGAUCAGCACGCCGCGGUGAAUACGUUCCCGGGCCUUGUACACACCGCCCGUCACACCACGAGAGUUUGUAACACCCGAAGUCGGUGAGGUAACCUUUUUGGAGCCAGCCGCCUAAGGUGGGAUAGAUGAUUGGGGUGAAGUCGUAACAAGGUAGCCGUAUCGGAAGGGGCGGCUG